CCUCGGAGAGUUUGAUCCUGGCUCAGGACGAACGCUGGCGGCGUGCCUAAUACAUGCAAGUCGAGCGAACAGAAGGGAGCUUGCUCCCGGAUGUUAGCGGCGGACGGGUGAGUAACACGUGGGUAACCUGCCUGUAAGACUGGGAUAACUCCGGGAAACCGGAGCUAAUACCGGAUAGUUCCUUGAACCGCAUGGUUCAAGGAUGAAAGACGGUUUCGGCUGUCACUUACAGAUGGACCCGCGGCGCAUUAGCUAGUUGGUGGGGUAAUGGCUCACCAAGGCGACGAUGCGUAGCCGACCUG
This 302-nucleotide ribosomal RNA is filed under the name Bacillus pumilus. RNAcentral describes it as "partial 16S ribosomal RNA". It matches the Rfam family "Bacterial small subunit ribosomal RNA", at positions 1 to 294 of the family's 1533-position model. The record is from RNAcentral. Lineage: Bacteria; Bacillati; Bacillota; Bacilli; Caryophanales; Bacillaceae.